Molecule: ribosomal RNA, 253 nt
Filed under: uncultured bacterium
Lineage: Bacteria
Description: partial 16S ribosomal RNA
Rfam family: Bacterial small subunit ribosomal RNA
Source: RNAcentral
UACAGAGGGUGCGAGCGUUAAUCGGAAUUACUGGGCGUAAAGCGUGCGCAGACGGUCAUGUAAGUCGGGUGUGAAAGCCCCGGGCUCAACCUGGGAAUUGCAUUCGAGACUGUGUGGCUAGGGUGCGGAAGAGGGAAGCGGAAUUUCCGGUGUAGCGGUGAAAUGCGUAGAUAUCUGGAGGAACACCGGUGGCGAAGGCGGCAUCCUGGACCGGUAUUGACGCUGAUGAGCGAAAGCGUGGGGAGCAAACGGG